RNAcentral lists this ribosomal RNA (410 nucleotides) under Clostridium perfringens. RNAcentral describes it as "bacterial SSU rRNA". It matches the Rfam family "Bacterial small subunit ribosomal RNA", at positions 1121 to 1533 of the family's 1533-position model. The record is from RNAcentral. Lineage: Bacteria; Bacillati; Bacillota; Clostridia; Eubacteriales; Clostridiaceae.
CCAUUAAGUUGAGGACUCUAGCGAGACUGCCUGGGUUAACCAGGAGGAAGGUGGGGAUGACGUCAAAUCAUCAUGCCCCUUAUGUGUAGGGCUACACACGUGCUACAAUGGCUGGUACAGAGAGAUGCAAUACCGCGAGGUGGAGCCAAACUUAAAAACCAGUCUCAGUUCGGAUUGUAGGCUGAAACUCGCCUACAUGAAGCUGGAGUUACUAGUAAUCGCGAAUCAGAAUGUCGCGGUGAAUACGUUCCCGGGUCUUGUACACACCGCCCGUCACACCAUGAGAGUUGGCAAUACCCGAAGUCCGUGAGCUAACCGCAAGGAGGCAGCGGCCGAAGGUAGGGUCAGCGAUUGGGGUGAAGUCGUAACAAGGUAGCCGUAGGAGAACCUGCGGCUGGAUCACCUCCUUU